CGUAUAUUAAAGUUGUUGCAGUUAAAAAGCUCGUAGUUGGAUUUGUGGCGUAUGGUGUGUUCCGGGCACUUGUUGUCUGAGUAACCUGCUGUUGCCAUCCUUGGGUGGAACCUGUGUGGCAUUAGGUUGUCGUGCAGGGGAUGCCCAUCUUUUACUGUGAAAAAAUUAGAGUGUUCAAAGCAGGCUUAUGCCGUUGCAUUCUCCAGCAUGGAAUAAUAAGAUAGGACCUUGGUACUAUUUUGUUGGUUUGCGCACCAAGGUAAUGAUUAAUAGGGACAGUUGGGGG
Molecule: ribosomal RNA, 286 nt
Filed under: uncultured diatom
Lineage: Eukaryota; Bacillariophyta
Description: partial 18S ribosomal RNA
Rfam family: Eukaryotic small subunit ribosomal RNA
Source: RNAcentral